This 879-nucleotide long non-coding RNA is filed under the name Nicotiana tabacum (common tobacco). Its description in RNAcentral is "long non-coding RNA (NTAB_LNC016642)". Lineage: Eukaryota; Viridiplantae; Streptophyta; Magnoliopsida; Solanales; Solanaceae. The record is from RNAcentral.
AAGCAUUUAACAUAAAUUCUUAUAAGCCAAGAACUUCCCCAAAUAACGGGCCAAUUUCUACCAUUAUACAUACUAACAACUGUUUGAUUAAAUUAAAAAAAAUAUAAUUCAUUAUCCACACAGCCACGUAAAAUUGAAAUCAAAACAUGUAAAUAAGGAGAAAAGGGACCAAAGUAGCAGCCUGUAGUUGAUGGAAAAAAUAGACGAAAGAGUUAAAAUAUCGGACCUUUGGGUUGAAUUUGAGCCUCAAUUACAAUCAACUCGAAAAUUAGACAACUCUGGACCGAAAUGACCUCAGAACCGCCUCUCCGACAGCCUCGAACGACCUCAGAACCGCCUCUCCGACAGCCUCGAACGACCUCAGAACUCGUCGCCUCGAACGACCUCAGAACCGCCUCUCCGACAGCCUCGAAACUCGUCGGAAAACUAGAACUAGACCGUUGUUUCGAGGUUGUUUUUGGCUAUUUUUCGAGCUGGAUUUUGGACUAUUUUUGCUGGUUUUUAGGAGAGGAAGGCAACUGGUUGAUGCUACUGCUGAUGCUAUUAGAAUUGCUAAAGAUAUCGGGAAAGUACAUCAAGAAGAUCCAAAGCAGCAGAAGGUUCCAACCCAUUGUCGUUGCAUCUCAACCUUUUAAUCAAGUGUGCGGCUGAAGCUCUCCAAAAAUGAGAGAGUUUGUGGCUGAAUUUUUGAAAUUUUUCCGCUAGGUUAGGGUGUCUUCAUUUUUUUGUUCUUUGAUUUCUGAAGAAGAUCAACGAUGGACUCGAUUUCCUAAGGUCUGCUACUGUUAAAAAUGGAGAAGACGAUCCAAAAGGGGUUGGGUUUUUUUAUUGAGUUCAGCGGCAGAUGUCAGUAUAUUUAAGCGUAUUUUUUGUGUGUUU